This is a long non-coding RNA of Mugil cephalus (flathead mullet), 1888 nucleotides long. RefSeq lists it as uncharacterized. NCBI's taxonomy places the organism in Eukaryota, Metazoa, Chordata, Actinopteri, Mugiliformes, Mugilidae. The record is from RefSeq and is a predicted model, not a curated record. The transcript has 3 exons.
GGUUCAACGCAUAACUUGCAUAAGUUGUUUUGUCCUAAGUAUUCGUUUCCCACUGAAGCACCUAUAAUUAGAAAAAAAGUUAGUGUGCUCCAUUCUAAUGGUGUAUGAACAAAGGAAACUAAAUCUAUUUCGCACGUUUUCUGCCUUCAUUUGACCCCAGGGGACCGUAGCUACCCGCUGAGAAUGUGGCUGUUCACCCCUCUCACCAACCCCGGCACCAACCAAGAGAGGAGGUACAAUGACCUCCAGUCCCAAACUCGGCUAGUGGUGGAGAGGGCAAUCGGCCAGCUGAAGGGACACUGGCGCUGCUUGGACAGGUGGCGGGGAGUGCUGCUCUACAACCGGAGAAGGUGUGCCGCAUUGUAAAGCCCUGUGGUGUUCUACGCAACAAGGCACACCAACACAAGGCACACGCCAACCCGUUCUCAUUCCGUUCUCAUUCAAGACGUAAUAUACCGACGAUUUACGACAUCUGAUACUGAUGCAAAAGGUACCCUUCCAAGUCUGUAUGAGAUGCUCUGGGUUCUCCGUUGACUUCAGUGUAAACCCACUUGCGGCGGUAAGAGACGCUUAGAGCAGAGGCUGCAGUACGGUGGCCGACACGGGCCAAACGGACGGCAGCGACCAAAUACGUCUCAAUUCGAGAAAACAGCUUCAAGUACAGAAACGAUGCAAAAUCACAAAUUUAAACACAAGUCUAAACUAAGUACAAAAAGAGGAACGUGGUGCAAACGAAAAAACGUGCUGCAAAAAACAAAGACAGAUGCGUCAUCAUUAAACGUGCUGCAAACAGAGAAACGAUGCAAACCCAGAAACGGUCUGCAAAAGAAAAACGCUGCAUUAGCGGUCACUACAAACGGAAGUUCUCCAAACCUGAAGGGGGCACUCCUAGCGUAACAGCUCAAUGGAGAGACACACGGGGUGGAGAGAUAGACAGAACAGCUGGCUGAACCGUUGUGCAUGAAAAUACGGCGUGAACGUUUGAAAAAUGAGUGAUUCAGAGGAUCUUGAGUUGGAGGAAGAGCUUCAGGGUGCCAACGAACUUCUUCAGGAUAUGGAGUGCUUCCUCAGGAGCUCCUUCAGUUGUUGGAGGAAGGAGAAGAGGAUGCAGCAGUGACUUGUGAGACAUCGCCUGAGUUGCCUGCUACUGACUGAGAGAUCAGAAACACGGAGUCCUGCUAAAGUGGAAAGAGGCCAGGCCUUCUCUUAUUGACAAUAUGUUGGCUACACACAGGAGUCACACUAUUUUGAUAGUGUGACUAAUCCUUGGAAUGAGCUACUUAGGUACAUAUCACUACAUCAAAUGCGUUCCAAAACAUACAUUUGAUUAAUAACAAUAAGUGAGUCUUGAUUGUAGUAUUUCCAGGCAUUACUGUACCAACUAUAGGAAGUCGUUUGCCAUAGCAUUUACAUCAGGUAUGUAUAAAAAUGGCCGUAACAAGAACCACAACGUAGCAUCCAUCAGGGAUGAAGCCAUUGUCAUGGUUUGUGCAGAUUUCUAUAUGACAUUAAACUGUUAAACUGGAAAUAUUUGAAGGUUCUGUGGUACACAUGAAAAAUCAAAGUGAUCCUCAUAUAUCUCUGUGUGCAUAACGAAUAUGCCAACCUCACUACAAUAGUGUGAAGUUAAUUCAACAAAUGGAUUGCAUUCAUACUACUAUAACAUAAAAUGUAUACUGUAACUAUAUUUUAUAACCAACUAUAAAUGCAUGGGCAGCAUGCGCGGGCAUAGAAUCACAAAGUUUUGUCUAUAUUGUAACUAUAUUUUAUAUAGUCAUAGAAACACAAAGUUUUGUCUAUAUUUUGGAUAUAUUCAGAAACUGUCAUUUUUGAUGCUCUAGUUUCUAGUUAUCUACCAUUGUUUGUAUGGCUGCAUAUUUUGGUUGUG